GCAGCAUUAAAAAUAAAUAGUCCGAAUAUCUCGCAAAACAAAAAGUUGAUAGAACAAAGCAUGAUGAGGAGACAUAAAUAAGGCACAGCAACAGUCAAAUGCUCACCUUUGCCAAGCUCUCUGAAACAAUAAAACUAAACAGAUGUAUUUUCCUCCCACAUUCACUUGUAAAAAGGUUUUACACAGAGGAAUCAAUCAUGUUCUCUGUAAGUAAUUUUUCCUCUACAAGUAAAAUCCAAGCAGCAAAACCUCAAUAUGCAUUAUUUGCAACAUCAAAUGUACACACUAUGUAUAGAACUUGAAUCAAAACCUCAGAUGGCGCUGAUUGGUUGGUCUGAAAUAAAUCAGCCCCUAGCAUUACCAUGUCGUUGGUUUCUGAAGUAUUGAAGUAAUGCCUGAGCCUUUUCUUUAGCCCUUGGAGUGCCAGACUGUGACAAAGCCACUAAUGGCGGUACAGCACCUUCUUGAAGCACCAUGUUGCAAAACCUACUACUGUUCGUGCAAAGCUGCAAAAGAGCAGCAGCUGCAUUUUCCUUACCUCUUGCAGAACCCAACUCAACAACCUCAACCAGAACAGGGAUCCCACCCUCUUGACCAAUUGCAGUCCUUCCCUCAGCAAUUGUUGCAAGAUUAGCCAAAACAGCAACUGC
RNAcentral lists this unclassified non-coding RNA (650 nucleotides) under Hevea brasiliensis (rubber tree). Lineage: Eukaryota; Viridiplantae; Streptophyta; Magnoliopsida; Malpighiales; Euphorbiaceae. The record is from RNAcentral.